CCUAACCCAGUCAAAUCGAACGGAACUUUUACAGAUUGAGGUUUGGCCCGAUUGAGGUUAAGUUUGGUGGCGGCCGGGUGAGUAACGCGUGAGUAACCUGCCUUUCACAGGGGGAUAACGUUUGGAAACGAACGCUAAUACCGCAUAACGUAGCGGGGUCGCAUGGCUCUGCUACCAGAGAUUUUAUCGGUGAAAGAUGGACUCGCGUCCGAUUAGGUAGUUGGUGAGGUAACGGCCCACCAAGCCGACGAUCUGUAGCCGGACUGUGAGGUUGAACGGCCACAUUGGGACUGAGACACGGCCCAGACUCAUACGGGAGGCAGCAGUGGGGCAUAUUGCACAAUGGGCGCAAGCCUGAUGCAGCAACGCCGCGUGAGGGAAGUCGGUUUUCGGAUUGUAAACCUCUGUCUUUGGUGACGAAGAAGUGACGGUAGCCAAGGAGGAAGCCACGGCUAACUACGUGCCAGCAGCCGCGGUAAUACGUAGGUGGCAAGCUUUAUCCGGAAUUACUGGGUGUAAAGGGAGCGCAGGCGGGACAGCAAGUCAGCGGUGAAAUUUAUGGGCUCAACCCAUAAACUGCCGUUGAAACUGUUGUUCUUGAGUGGAGUAGAGGCAGGCGGAAUUCCGAGUGUAGCGGUGAAAUGCGUAGAUAUUCGGAGGAACACCAGUGGCGAAGGCGGCCUGCUGGGCUCUAACUGACGCCGAGGCUCGAAAGUGAGCGAGCAAACAGGAUUAGAUACCCUAGUAGUCCACGCCGUAAACAAAAAGAACUAAGUGUGGAGGAAUUCAGUGCCGCAGUUAACGCGAAUAAGUCUCCGCCUGGGGAGUA
This 829-nucleotide ribosomal RNA is filed under the name uncultured bacterium. RNAcentral describes it as "bacterial SSU rRNA". It matches the Rfam family "Bacterial small subunit ribosomal RNA", at positions 47 to 882 of the family's 1533-position model. The record is from RNAcentral.